RNAcentral lists this ribosomal RNA (253 nucleotides) under uncultured bacterium. RNAcentral's name for it is "partial 16S ribosomal RNA". It matches the Rfam family "Bacterial small subunit ribosomal RNA", at positions 524 to 776 of the family's 1533-position model. The record is from RNAcentral.
UACGUAGGGGGCAAGCGUUGUCCGGAAUUAUUGGGCGUAAAGAGCGUGUAGGCGGUCCGGUAAGUCAGCUGUGAAAGUCAAGGGCUCAACCCUUGAAUGCCGGUUGAUACUGUCGGGCUAGAGUCCGGAAGAGGCGAGUGGAAUUCCCGGUGUAGCGGUGAAAUGCGCAGAUAUCAGGAGGAACACCGAUGGCGAAGGCAGGUCUCUGGGCAUUAACUGACGCUGAGGAGCGAAAGCAUGGGGAGCGAACAGG